CAAUCUGCUCAUAGAUGAAAAUAUGCUAUUCCAGCCAAAGCCUUGGCAAGAUCCUUUGGCAUUUGAGAGUUGUUUUGUGUAUACGGCCCUUUAACGGAGCAAAUGGCCAGCCAGGAAACCAAAGUAUGGACAAGGGGAAAGAAGCAUCUGUGGAGGAAGUUUUACAAGCGACCCUCCUCAUCCAUGCAUUCUAUGGAUGAUAUUCUAACUUCUGAAGACUUGUCAUUGCUACAGCAACACAGAGAUGCACUGACACCCUUCUUCAAUCCAGAGGAUGGGCCAUCAACUCACAAAAGUACAAGGCUUGGGACCAGCUGCAAAGUUCCUAUGGAUCAC
This 336-nucleotide long non-coding RNA is filed under the name Pan troglodytes (chimpanzee). RNAcentral describes it as "long non-coding RNA NONPTRT005245". Lineage: Eukaryota; Metazoa; Chordata; Mammalia; Primates; Hominidae. The record is from RNAcentral.